GACGAACGCUGGCGGCGUGCCUAACACAUGCAAGUCGAACGGAAAGGCCCUGAUUUUGUGGGGUGCUCGAGUGGCGAACGGGUGAGUAACACGUGAGUAACAUGUCCUUGACUUUGGGAUAACUUCAGGAAACUGGGGCUAAUACCGCAUAGGAGCUCCUGCUGCAUGGUGGGGGUUGGUAAGUUUCGGCGGUUGGGGAUGGACUCGCGGCUUAUCAGCUUGUUGGUGGGGUAGUGGCUUACCAAGGCUUUGAAGGGUAGCCGGCCUUAGAGGCGGACCGGACACAUUGGUACUGAGAUACGGCCCAGACUCCUACGGUAGGCAGCGGUGGGGAAUAUUGCACAGUGGGCGGAAGCCUGAUGCGGCAACGCCGCGUGCGGGAUGACGGCCUUCGGGUUGUAAACCGCUUUCGCCUGUGACGAGGCGUUAGUGACGGUAAUGGGUAAAGAAGCACCGGCUAACUACGUG
This 468-nucleotide ribosomal RNA is filed under the name uncultured bacterium. Its description in RNAcentral is "partial 16S ribosomal RNA". It matches the Rfam family "Bacterial small subunit ribosomal RNA", at positions 28 to 507 of the family's 1533-position model. The record is from RNAcentral.